UACAAAGAUAUUUUACUUCUAGAUGGAUAGCGAUGACGUCACGAAUUGUUAGAAAGUGAUAGCUCAAUACAAAUUAACUAAUGUAUGAAAGAGACGCAUGACUUUUUUUUUGUCCCUUUCGGUAUGGCCGGGUUUUUUGUUUGGCAACUGUGUUCAGUUGACAAUUAGUUGCCAAACAAAUAGACGCGCUGUGAUUUUUAACUGUUUUUUGUGUUAAAGUGAAAAAGGAGAAUUUAAAAGAGUUAUUAUAUUAAGUGGCGAGGAAAACUCCUUCGAUUGUGAUGGUGGGAUGUUCCAUUCUUGGCUGUAAGAGCCGUAGCGAACAACAAAUACCUGGAUUGACGUUUUAUGCGUAAGUACCGCUAUAAAUGUUGUUUUUCUUAGAGUUUCACGUACUAAUUAGAAUGAAAGUGAGUGUUUAUUUUGUUUCUGACAAUUCCUUAAACAAAUUCACACAGGUCUGCUUUAAUUUCGGAAAUAGGUAAUUUAUCAUAACCUCAAACCUCGUAUCAUUAUUGAAAGCUGUAUUGCCAUGUCGACAAAAUUAUCUCCCGGAUAAAUUAAAAAUAUUGUGUUGUGUCGUCUUUGUUAUUAUUGAGGUAUUGUUACAUAGCUAACAUCGUGGAUGGAUCAAACCAAAAAAUCCUUUUCCCACCGAACCCAAUGCACGGAGUGUAUGGGUGGCAGCAACUGGACGUUCAAACUGGCAGCCAAAAGGAAGUUCAAAAGUGUGUUCAAUACAUUUUGAAGAUGGAUCUUUUACUACCUCAAAAAGAAGAAAAUAUUUAAAACCUGGAACUAUUCCUGAAAAACAAAUUCAUAAGCUGGUAUCAACAAAACCACAAAGUUGUCUCGAGGUGAAAAAGUGUGAUCUUGAGCGCGAGUUGAGAGAUGUUCAACUUAAGCUAGAAAGGCAAACAAAGAUUUCGGCGACACGGUUGAAGAAAUUGCGUGCAAGUCGAGAGUCGCGGAGAAGACUGCAGAAGAAGGUUGCAGUUUUGGAAAAUAUUCUGGUUGAAUUAAAAGCUAAAAUGCCGAUAAAAUGCGAACUACACCAACAACUGGAGUCGUGAAAAUUGCUUUAAGAAAAAUAAUGAGAAUUUGUGUCCGAAACAGCGACGGACAUCUAGAACAUGAAAUGUGAAAAUAAUGAUUAAUAAAUAUUUACUGUUUA
Aricia agestis (brown argus) is the source of this 1174-nucleotide RNA transcript. It is a transcript of the gene named THAP domain-containing protein 1-like, with no coding region annotated. The transcript has 4 exons. The record is from RefSeq and is a predicted model, not a curated record. NCBI's taxonomy places the organism in Eukaryota, Metazoa, Arthropoda, Insecta, Lepidoptera, Lycaenidae.